RNAcentral lists this ribosomal RNA (386 nucleotides) under Philautus sp. WHT3418. Its description in RNAcentral is "partial 12S ribosomal RNA". Lineage: Eukaryota; Metazoa; Chordata; Amphibia; Anura; Rhacophoridae. The record is from RNAcentral.
CACAUGCAAGUAUCAGCACCCCAGUGAGGAAACCCUAUAGCCUCUACAAGGCCAAGGAAUUGGUAUCAGGCACAAAACUACUGCCCACAACACCUAGUCCCACCACACCCAUAAGGGUAAUCAGCAGUGACAAAAAUUGCCUAUGGGCGUCAGCCUAAAUCAGCCAGGAAAGACAGAGCCGGCAAACUAAGUGCCAGCCGCCGCGGCUACACCGACGGGCUCAAGUUGAUAAUAACCGGCGUUAAACGUGAUUAAAGGAACACCUAAUUAGAGUUGAACUUAAACUUAGUUGUAAAAAGCUUACUUCAACGGAAACCCAUAAUCGAAAGUUACUCUAAUGCCUCUCUUGAAUACACGACAAUUUGGGCACAAACUGAGAUUAGAUA